This is an RNA transcript of Ornithodoros turicata, 1187 nucleotides long. RefSeq lists it as uncharacterized. The record is from RefSeq and is a predicted model, not a curated record. The transcript has 4 exons. Lineage: Eukaryota; Metazoa; Arthropoda; Arachnida; Ixodida; Argasidae.
AAUAACAGGUCGUCAUUAUAUACUAAGCUAUUUCCUCGCUGUAUUAAUGCUAUUGUACUGCAUUAGGAAAGUAUAUAAUGGUACCGGAGUCAACUGCGCUGUGUAUAAUACUUGUUUUCAUGCUGGUAUGCGAGAAGGAUUCUGAGGCUGUGCAUAUUUGACAGGGUGCAAGCUAUGGUCCCUGAAGCUCCUGAAUACCCUGCAAUUAAAACAUGCCAUUUUCAAAAUUUGGAAAACCCUGUAGUUUUCCACAGCCCUUGAAAACACCUGGCAUGCCAUCCUCGAUACACGUUAUAACUUUAGUGCAGUGUAAUUGCACAUUGAUCUCUUACCAGUAGUUUUCCAUCCCCUCUCUUUUGAGUUUUUUUAGCUUGUGAGUGCCUUUCCCACAACAGAAGACACUGAAUGUCUUGAGACUGUUGACUGGACCCUGCACGACUGCAGAAGAUGUGUGUACACAAGAAUUUUGCCUUUUUGGUGCUCCGCUCAAGACCAGUUGCCAAUGCAGACCCGUUGAACUAGCACAACUGUUUUUUUCUUUUUUUCAUAACCUAGCCCAACUAAUGCAUAUGAAUUCCGUCAUCAUCACAGACCAUGCAUACGCACAGUCUCGUCCCAAGAAGACCAAAUCAUCCUAUGGCCAAGCAAGCCUUCGUGCAGAAGCUUCUACCCCUGAGGUAAAAUGCGGCGGAGGAUCAGGUCAUGGUUACUUUACCGAACACAUGUCACUACCGUCGCCUGUGAAGCAGGUGUCCAGAAGCGUUGGCAACCGAACUGACAUUACCACAAGAACUGCUGACUGCAUUCUACUAUAUUUCCACAUUCUUCGCAAUAGACAACACCUGGUAGCAAAAGCGAUAAAGUCAAUGAACAUGCAGCUGCGGUCCACUCUUACGAACGCGCACGAAGCUAACGAAAUAUCACUGGCGUCGCUACUACUAAGAUGCCCUUUCACACAGGAGUGAAAGCCGCCACCUAGUCUGAGCAGGCAGACCUCACUCCUGUUCUCCUUUUGAACAUCGUACCACCGCCCCCGCCACUAAUAUUCCGCGUUUGCCGCAAGUGUAUUGCAUGUUCAAGCAGCAUACGAUUACAAGAACUAUAAAAGUCGAUCGACAUAGCAUUGGUAUUCUCAUUUCAGUUCACAUAGCGUCCAAAUUUCCUAGGAUUUAAAACGGCAAAAUUAU